Molecule: ribosomal RNA, 443 nt
Filed under: uncultured bacterium
Lineage: Bacteria
Description: bacterial SSU rRNA
Rfam family: Bacterial small subunit ribosomal RNA
Source: RNAcentral
GCUUAACGCGAAGAACCUUACCAGGGCUUAAAUGUAGUGGGACAGGUCCAGAGAUGGGCCCUUCUUCGGACUCAUUACAAGGUGCUGCAUGGUUGUCGUCAGCUCGUGCCGUGAGGUGUCAGGUUAAGUCCUAUAACGAGCGCAACCCCUGUCGUUAGUUGCCAGCGAGUGAAGUCGGGAACUCUAACGAGACUGCCGGUGCAAACCGUGAGGAAGGUGGGGAUGACGUCAAAUCAUCACGGCCCUUACGUCCUGGGCUACACACGUGCUACAAUGGCCGGUACAGAGAGCAGCCACGCCGCAAGGCGGAGCGAAUCUACAAAACCGGUCACAGUUCGGAUCGGGGUCUGCAACUCGACCCCGUGAAGCUGGAAUCGCUAGUAAUCGCACAUCAGCCAUGGUGCGGUGAAUACGUUCCCGGGUCUUGUACACACCCGGGGUCU